Calypte anna (Anna's hummingbird) is the source of this 151-nucleotide non-coding RNA. The record is from Rfam. NCBI's taxonomy places the organism in Eukaryota, Metazoa, Chordata, Aves, Apodiformes, Trochilidae.
ACACUUACCUGGCAGGGAACACACCAUGAUCAGGCAGGCGGUUUUCCCAAGGCAAGGCUUAUACUCUGCUGAGCCCUGCAAUUUACCCGAAUGCAGGAAAUGCAGCUGCAUAAUCUGUGGUGCUGGGGGACUGCGUUCAUGCUCUGCCCUG